Molecule: ribosomal RNA, 911 nt
Filed under: uncultured bacterium
Lineage: Bacteria
Description: bacterial SSU rRNA
Rfam family: Bacterial small subunit ribosomal RNA
Source: RNAcentral
UUUUCGGACCUAGCGGCGGACGGGUGAGUAAUGCGUAGGAAGCUGCCCGAUAGAGGGGGAUACCAGUUGGAAACGACUGUUAAUACCGCAUAAUGUCUACGGACCAAAGUGUGGGACCUUCGGGCCACAUGCUAUCGGAUGCGCCUACGUGGGAUUAGCUAGUUGGUGAGGUAAUGGCUCACCAAGGCGACGAUCUCUAGCUGGUUUGAGAGGAUGAUCAGCCACACUGGAACUGAGACACGGUCCAGACUCCUACGGGAGGCAGCAGUGGGGAAUAUUGGACAAUGGGCGCAAGCCUGAUCCAGCCAUGCCGCGUGUGUGAAGAAGGCCUUCGGGUUGUAAAGCACUUUCAGCGAGGAGGAAGGGUGGUGUGUUAAUAGCACAUCAUUUUGACGUUACUCGCAGAAGAAGCACCGGCUAACUCUGUGCCAGCAGCCGCGGUAAUACAGAGGGUGCAAGCGUUAAUCGGAAUUACUGGGCGUAAAGCGCACGUAGGCGGUUAGUUAAGUUGGAUGUGAAAGCCCCGGGCUCAACCUGGGAAUUGCAUUCAAAACUGGCUAACUAGAGUAUGUGAGAGGGGGGUAGAAUUCCAAGUGUAGCGGUGAAAUGCGUAGAGAUUUGGAGGAAUACCAGUGGCGAAGGCGGCCCCCUGGCACAAUACUGACGCUCAGGUGCGAAAGCGUGGGGAGCAAACAGGAUUAGAUACCCUGGUAGUCCACGCCGUAAACGAUGUCUACUAGCUGUUCGUGGUCUUGUACUGUGAGUAGCGCAGCUAACGCACUAAGUAGACCGCCUGGGGAGUACGGUCGCAAGAUUAAAACUCAAAUGAAUUGACGGGGGCCCGCACAAGCGGUGGAGCAUGUGGUUUAAUUCGACGCAACGCGAAGAACCUUACCUACUCUUGACAUCUA